GACGAACGCUGGCGGCGUGCCUAAUACAUGCAAGUCGAACGCAGUGGGGACGGGUGAGUAACACGUGGGUAACCUCCCAUCAGAGGGGAUAACACUUGGAAACAGGUGCUAAACCGAUACUGAUGGAUGGACCCGCGGUGCAUUAGCUAGUUGGUGAGGUAACGGCGCACCAAGGCCACGAUGCCUCGCCGACAUGAAAGGGUGUACGGCGACACUGAGACUGAGACACGGCCCAGACUCCUACGGUGGGCAGCAGUAGAGAAUCUUAGGCAAUGGACGAAAGUCUGACCGAGCAACACGGCGUGAGUGAAGAAGGUGUUAGGAUCGUAAAACUCUGUUGUUAUAGAAGCGGUAUCUAACCAGAAAGCCACGGCUAACUACGUGCCAGCCGCCGCGGUAAUAC
This 403-nucleotide ribosomal RNA is filed under the name uncultured bacterium. RNAcentral's name for it is "partial 16S ribosomal RNA". It matches the Rfam family "Bacterial small subunit ribosomal RNA", at positions 28 to 526 of the family's 1533-position model. The record is from RNAcentral.